UGGGGAAUAUUGGACAAUGGGCGAAAGCCUGAUCCAGCCAUGCCGCGUGUGUGAAGAAGGUCUUCGGAUUGUAAAGCACUUUAAGUUGGGAGGAAGGGCAGUAAGCGAAUACCUUGCUGUUUUGACGUUACCGACAGAAUAAGCACCGGCUAACUCUGUGCCAGCAGCCGCGGUAAUACAGAGGGUGCAAGCGUUAAUCGGAAUUACUGGGCGUAAAUCGCGCGUAGGUGGUUCGUUAAGUUGAAUGUGAAAGCCCCGGGCUCAACCUGGGAACUGCAUCCAAAACUGGCGAGCUAGAGUAGGGCAGAGGGUGGUGGAAUUUCCUGUGUAGCGGUGAAAUGCGUAGAUAUAGGAAGGAACACCAGUGGCGAAGGCGACCACCUGGGCUCAUACUGACACUGAGGUGCGAAAGCGUGGGGAGCAAACAGG
Molecule: ribosomal RNA, 429 nt
Filed under: Pseudomonadota bacterium
Lineage: Bacteria; Pseudomonadati; Pseudomonadota
Description: Proteobacteria bacterium partial 16S ribosomal RNA
Rfam family: Bacterial small subunit ribosomal RNA
Source: RNAcentral